CCUACGGGAGGCAGCAGUGGGGAAUAUUGCACAAUGGGCGCAAGCCUGAUGCAGCCAUGCCGCGUGUGUGAAGAAGGCCUUCGGGUUGUAAAGCACUUUCAGCGGGGAGGAAGGCGGUAAGGUUAAUAACCUUGGCGAUUGACGUUACCCGCAGAAGAAGCACCGGCUAACUCCGUGCCAGCAGCCGCGGUAAUACGGAGGGUGCAAGCGUUAAUCGGAAUUACUGGGCGUAAAGCGCACGCAGGCGGUCUGUCAAGUCGGAUGUGAAAUCCCCGGGCUCAACCUGGGAACUGCAUUCGAAACUGGCAGGCUAGAGUCUUGUAGAGGGGGGUAGAAUUCCAGGUGUAGCGGUGAAAUGCGUAGAGAUCUGGAGGAAUACCGGUGGCGAAGGCGGCCCCCUGGACAAAGACUGACGCUCAGGUGCGAAAGCGUGGGGAGCAAACAGGAUUAGAUACCCGAGUAGUC
Molecule: ribosomal RNA, 465 nt
Filed under: uncultured Klebsiella sp.
Lineage: Bacteria; Pseudomonadati; Pseudomonadota; Gammaproteobacteria; Enterobacterales; Enterobacteriaceae
Description: bacterial SSU rRNA
Rfam family: Bacterial small subunit ribosomal RNA
Source: RNAcentral